UACGUAGGGCGCAAGCGUUGUCCGGAAUUAUUGGGCGUAAAGAGCUCGUAGGCGGCUUGUCACGUCGGGUGUGAAAGCCCGGGGCUUAACCCCGGGUCUGCAUUCGAUACGGGCUAGCUAGAGUGUGGUAGGGGAGAUCGGAAUUCCUGGUGUAGCGGUGAAAUGCGCAGAUAUCGGGAGGAACACCAGUGGCGAAGGCGACUCUCUGGCCUGUAACUGACACUGAGGCGCGAAAGCGUGGGGAGCGAACAGG
Molecule: ribosomal RNA, 253 nt
Filed under: uncultured bacterium
Lineage: Bacteria
Description: partial 16S ribosomal RNA
Rfam family: Bacterial small subunit ribosomal RNA
Source: RNAcentral